This 100-nucleotide non-coding RNA is filed under the name Desulforamulus aeronauticus. RNAcentral describes it as "Desulfotomaculum aeronauticum Guanine sequence". It matches the Rfam family "Purine riboswitch aptamer". Rfam says of the family: Riboswitches are metabolite binding domains within certain messenger RNAs that serve as precision sensors for their corresponding targets. Lineage: Bacteria; Bacillati; Bacillota; Clostridia; Eubacteriales; Peptococcaceae. The record is from RNAcentral.
UUGUGCAAAUUGAAUAUUUUCCGUAUAUGCUUGGGAAUUGGCCUGAGCGUUUCUACCCGGCAACCGUAAUUGCUGGACUACGGAGGGAAAGUGUACCUAG